GCACCCAUAGCUCAGCUGGAUAGAGCACAAGUUUCCUAAACUUGGUGUCGGGUGUUCGAAUCAUCCUGGGUGCGCCA
This 77-nucleotide transfer RNA is filed under the name Mycoplasmataceae bacterium. Its description in RNAcentral is "tRNA-Arg". It matches the Rfam family "tRNA". From Rfam's summary of the family: Transfer RNA (tRNA) molecules are approximately 80 nucleotides in length. The record is from RNAcentral. Lineage: Bacteria; Bacillati; Mycoplasmatota; Mollicutes; Mycoplasmatales; Mycoplasmataceae.